Molecule: long non-coding RNA, 2640 nt
Filed under: Equus caballus (horse)
Lineage: Eukaryota; Metazoa; Chordata; Mammalia; Perissodactyla; Equidae
Description: lncRNA (ENSECAG00000051442.1)
Source: RNAcentral
ACGCCCUUUCCUGGAGCCCGCAGCUGGAACGAAGCCCCUUGAAGGCCUGACAUCAGAGGAACGGAACCUGGGAAUUCUGCUUGAGUGGCUGGAGCAGCGGUCACUGACCUCAUCAUGGUCCUCGUCAGCCAGUGAGCAACGCUUUGCAGUUUACAAAACACUUUCACGUCCAUUCGCUAGUUCGAUUUGGUCUUCGCAACCCUUGGUAAGAUCAUCCCAUUACCAAUUCCACCCCCGGAGAGAAGAGGAAGUUAGGAUCCGAGGUGGAGGUUGCGUAAAUUGCCCUCAGCGCCAAGAGGAGGCCGGGAAUCCCACCACCUUCCCGGCACCUAGGCUUUCCGCCGGGCCUCUCCCCACCCCGACUCUUUAUCAUGCUAAUUGAGAGGAGUGAGCUGCUUCAGUCGGAGCCAAGCUGGAGCUUAGGGCCGGAGGUUAGGACUGAGUAGGCAAUCAGAAAACAGGUCAAGGGGCGGGAUCCUGUCCCACCUCCCCCGGGGCAAGCUCUGAGGGCCCCCCCCCCCCCCCCCCCCCCCCCCGCCUCGCUGGUGUGGGGGAUUUGAAUAGCAUGACCAUAUGAUUGCUCAUCCAGAUUAGGACAUUUUUGAGAAUGAAAGGGAGCGCCCAUAGUAACUACCCCACGGCAAGAGCCGAGAAUGGGAGGCGAGGUCGCCCUAUUAUGGAACCACCUGCCUUGCCCCUUCUCCACCUCUGCAGUCACUCGGCGGCCACUCGCUGGGCAUUUAGUUGUGCUGGGCACUCUGCAGAGCUGGUGUUAUUGGAUCUUCAGGAUAACGAGUGGCCGAUCCAGUUAUUGUUCCCAUUUUAUUGGUGGAGAGACUGAGGCCCAGUAGACUCUUGCCCACGAACUCACAGCUGGAAGAGGCCUGGGAGAAGAAAUCUGAAUGCAGGAAAGGCAAACGGAGAUGGUCCUUGGGCGCCGCUAGACCGUCCAGAGGAAACAAUAUGCCUUGGCGUCAUUGGGAAGACCUUGAAUAGGGUCUGGAAAGAGGUGAGUUGAGAUGGGCCAGCCCUAAGGCAGGAAUCUGUUGGAUAUGUUUGAGGUCAGAGGGAGUGGGAGGGAUGGGGAGCAGGAGAGGAAGUGGCCCUGGAGACCAUCAUGAGGCUUUCGGCUUUCGCUCUGAGUGAGAUGGGGAUCCAUUGCAGGAUUCUAAGCAGAGAAGUGACAUGAUCAGACUUUUUUUUAAAAAAGUAUUUAUUAUUUUUUAAGGGGCAUUUUAAAGACUCUUUUUUAGAGCAGUUUUAGGUUCACAGCAAAAUUGAGAGGAAGGUGCAGAGAUUCCCCAUAUACCUCUUGUCCCCACACAUGCACAGCCUCCCCCAUUAUCAGCAGCCCCCGCUCCUCCCAGAGUGCUACAUUUGUUACAACUGAUGAGCCUAGAUCGACACGUUGUUAUCACCCACAGUCUAUAGUUUACAUUAGGGUUCACUUUUGCUGUUGCACAUUCUGUGGUUUUGGACAAAUGUAUAACGACCUGCAUCCAUCAUUAUAGCAUCAUACGGAGUAUUUUCACUGUUCUAGAAAUUCUCUGUGCCCUGAGAUUAAUGUUUUGAAGCUUCACUUCGGCUUGCGCGCUGAGAGUAAAUGGAAGGGUGGGGGCAGGGACAGAGGCGGGAGACCCGUUGGGGGGCACAGGCAGCACGGUUCACGAGAGCCCCACGGCCUGGAGGGGGCCCCCUCCGCAGCCUCCUCAGCAGAGCCUCCUGCCGCACCCCAUGCCUCUUCUGCUUCAGUCGAGCACGGAAGGGAACCCCUGGUGCUUGAGGGCCUACUAGGUGCGGGGCUUGCUUUAGGUGCUUCCUGUUGCUCACGUCAUUUAACCUUCAGACGCGUUCCUGAGGGAGGGAUUGUUCCACAGAUGUUUCAAAGCCCAUGUUCCGGGUUGAAUGGUGUCCUCCAAUUCGGUGGCGUUUGGAGGCAGGACCUUUGGAAGGUAAUCAGGUUUAGAUGUGGACAUGAGGGUGGAGCCCCCGUGAUGGGAUUAGUGCCCUUGUAGGAAGAGACCCAGACAGGUUGCUUCCUUUCUCUCCUCUCUCUUCCCCUCCUCGCCCCCCGACCAUGUGCAUGGAGGAGGAAAGGCACAUGAGCGCACAGUAGGAGAUGGCCUCUGCAGCCAGGAAGAGAGCUCACACCCGGAGCGGAAUCUGUUGGCCCCUUGACCUUGGACCUCUCAGCCUCGAGAACUGUGAGAAAAGAACGUUUGGUGUUUAAGCCACCUAGCCUAGCCUGUGGUACUUUAUUGUGGCAGCCCCAGCUGAUUAAGCUAGCCCAUUUUACAGACAAGGAAACUGAAACUCUGAGGUUGAGGUGACAAGUCACCCAGCUGGGGUGUGGCAGUGCCGUUACCCUGGGCUGUGAUGGGAGAUUCGGCUUGGAGGAGCCCUGCCUGGGGGCUGGGGAACCUGGCACUGAGGAGUCACAGAGGGACAAGUCUCAGGGUGAUUGGGCCUGCUGGGCUCCUGCCUGGAGGCAGCACUGUCUCUGUGCAGGUUCUCAGAGGCCUGGCUCCAGCUUUUCCAGGCAAGCAGGGGGUCUGUCCGGGGUCCCACUGAGGCUUCCUCGUGGCCUCCCAGCCUUGCUGGCGCCUUGAGCUGUCCAGGCUGGUGCUCCCGGAGGCGGCA